GAUGAACGCUGGCGGCGUGCCUAAUACAUGCAAGUCGAGCGAACAGACGAGGAGCUUGCUCCUCUGACGUUAGCGGCGGACGGGUGAGUAACACGUGGAUAACCUACCUAUAAGACUGGGAUAACUUCGGGAAACCGGAGCUAAUACCGGAUAAUAUAUUGAACCGCAUGGUUCAAUAGUGAAAGACGGUUUUGCUGUCACUUAUAGAUGGAUCCGCGCCGCAUUAUCUAGUUGGUAAGGUAACGGCUUACCAAGGCAACGAUGCGUAGCCGACCUGAGAGGGUGAUCGGCCACACUGGAACUGAGACACGGUCCAGACUCUUACGGGAGGCAGCAGUAGGGAAUCUUCCGCAAUGGGCGAAAGCCUGACGGAGCAACGCCGCGUGAGUGAUGAAGGUCUUCGGAUCGUAAAACUCUGUUAUUAGGGAAGAACAAAUGUGUAAGUAACUAUGCACGUCUUGACGGUACCUAAUCAGAAAGCCACGGCUAACUACGUG
This 497-nucleotide ribosomal RNA is filed under the name uncultured bacterium. Its description in RNAcentral is "partial 16S ribosomal RNA". It matches the Rfam family "Bacterial small subunit ribosomal RNA", at positions 28 to 507 of the family's 1533-position model. The record is from RNAcentral.